RNAcentral lists this ribosomal RNA (689 nucleotides) under Janthinobacterium sp. 62AP22. RNAcentral's name for it is "bacterial SSU rRNA". It matches the Rfam family "Bacterial small subunit ribosomal RNA", at positions 143 to 827 of the family's 1533-position model. The record is from RNAcentral. Lineage: Bacteria; Pseudomonadati; Pseudomonadota; Betaproteobacteria; Burkholderiales; Oxalobacteraceae.
AUAACGUAGCGAAAGUUACGCUAAUUUCCCAUACGAUCUAAGGAUGAAAGUGGGGGAUCGCAAGACCUCAUGCUCCUGGAGCGGCCGAUAUCUGAUUAGCUAGUUGGUGAGGUAAUGGCUCACCAAGGCGACGAUCAGUAGCUGGUCUGAGAGGACGACCAGCCACACUGGAACUGAGACACGGUCCAGACUCCUACGGGAGGCAGCAGUGGGGAAUUUUGGACAAUGGGCGCAAGCCUGAUCCAGCAAUGCCGCGUGAGUGAAGAAGGCCUUCGGGUUGUAAAGCUCUUUUGUCAGGGAAGAAACGGUUGGGGCUAAUAUCCCCGGCUAAUGACGGUACCUGAAGAAUAAGCACCGGCUAACUACGUGCCAGCAGCCGCGGUAAUACGUAGGGUGCAAGCGUUAAUCGGAAUUACUGGGCGUAAAGCGUGCGCAGGCGGUUUUGUAAGUCUGACGUGAAAUCCCCGGGCUCAACCUGGGAAUUGCGUUGGAGACUGCAAGGCUAGAGUCUGGCAGAGGGGGGUAGAAUUCCACGUGUAGCAGUGAAAUGCGUAGAGAUGUGGAGGAACACCGAUGGCGAAGGCAGCCCCCUGGGUCAAGACUGACGCUCAUGCACGAAAGCGUGGGGAGCAAACAGGAUUAGAUACCCUGGUAGUCCACGCCCUAAACGAUGUCUACUAGUUGUCGGG